This 253-nucleotide ribosomal RNA is filed under the name uncultured bacterium. RNAcentral describes it as "partial 16S ribosomal RNA". It matches the Rfam family "Bacterial small subunit ribosomal RNA", at positions 524 to 776 of the family's 1533-position model. The record is from RNAcentral.
UACGUAGGGGGCAAGCGUUGUCCGGAUUUAUUGGGCGUAAAGAGCGUGUAGGCGGCCAGGUAGGUCCGUUGUGAAAACUCGAGGCUCAACCUCGAGACGUCGAUGGAAACCAUCUGGCUAGAGUCCGGAAGAGGAGAGUGGAAUUCCUGGUGUAGCGGUGAAAUUCGUAGAUAUUCGGAAGAACACCAGUGGCGAAGGCGGCUCACUGGCCCGGUACUGACGCUGAAAUACGAAAGCGUGGGGAGCAAACAGG